AUACGGAGGGUGCAAGCGUUACUCGGAAUCACUGGGCGUAAAGCGCGCGUAGGCGGCUUAUUAAGUCAGAUGUGAAAUCCCCGGGCUCAACCUGGGAACUGCAUCUGAUACUGGUAAGCUAGAGUUUUGGAGAGGGAAGUAGAAUUUCAGGUGUAGCGGUGAAAUGCAUAGAGAUCUGAAGGAAUACCAGUGGCGAAGGCGACUUCCUGGCCAAAAACUGACGCUGAGGUGCGAAAGCGUGGGUAGCAAACGGGAUUAGAAACCCCUGUAGUCC
RNAcentral lists this ribosomal RNA (274 nucleotides) under uncultured bacterium. RNAcentral describes it as "partial 16S ribosomal RNA". It matches the Rfam family "Bacterial small subunit ribosomal RNA", at positions 523 to 796 of the family's 1533-position model. The record is from RNAcentral.